Non-coding RNA from Acanthosepion pharaonis, 81 nucleotides. Lineage: Eukaryota; Metazoa; Mollusca; Cephalopoda; Sepiida; Sepiidae. The record is from the annotation of a GenBank genome assembly.
CGGUUCUCGUACGAUCACUGAAGUUAAGCAACCUCGAUCCCGGUCAGUACCUAGAUGGGUAACCGCUUGAGAAUACCAGGU